ACGCGAGGAACCUUACCAGGUCUUGACAUCCUUAUGCCUUCUCUGGAGACAGAGCGUUCCCUUCGGGGACAUAAGUGACAGGUGGUGCAUGGUUGUCGUCAGCUCGUGUCGUGAGAUGUUGGGUUAAGUCCCGCAACGAGCGCAACCCUUGAUCUUAGUUGCCAGCAUUUAGUUGGGCACUCUAAGGUGACUGCCGGUGACAAACCGGAGGAAGGUGGGGAUGACGUCAAAUCAUCAUGCCCCUUAUGACCUGGGCUACACACGUGCUACAAUGGAUGGUACAAAGGGCUGCAAGACCGCGAGGUUUAGCCAAUCCCAUAAAACCAUUCUCAGUUCGGAUUGUAGGCUGCAACUCGCCUACAUGAAGCUGGAAUCGCUAGUAAUCGCGGAUCAGCAUGCCGCGGUGAAUACGUUCCCGGGCCUUGCACUCACCGCCCGU
This 439-nucleotide ribosomal RNA is filed under the name uncultured bacterium. RNAcentral's name for it is "bacterial SSU rRNA". It matches the Rfam family "Bacterial small subunit ribosomal RNA", at positions 959 to 1397 of the family's 1533-position model. The record is from RNAcentral.